GAUGAACGCUGGCGGCGUGCUUAACACAUGCCAGUGGAGCGGAAAGACGCUGCGUUUGCGGCGUUCUCGAGAGGCGAACAGGUGAGUAACACACGAGUAACCUGCACUUGUCUGUGGGAGAUCUUCAGGAGACUGCGGCGAAUACCGGAUAGGAGAUCUUGCAGCAUGUUGUGGAUUGGAAAGUUUCGGCUGUGGGGGAUGGACUCGCGGCUUACCCGCUUGUUGGUGUGGUAGUUGCUGACCCGGGCUAUGACGGGUAGCCGGCGUGGGAGGGUUACCGGCGACAUGGGGACUGAGAGACGGCCCAGACUCCAACGGGAGGCAGCAGUGGGGAAUAUUACACAGUGGGGGGACGCCUGAGGCAGCAACGCCGCGUGCGGGAUGCCGGCCUUCGGGUUGUAAACAGCUUUCGCCUGUGACGAAGAGUGAGUGACGGUAAUGGGUAAAGAAGCACCGGCUAACUACGUG
This 468-nucleotide ribosomal RNA is filed under the name uncultured bacterium. Its description in RNAcentral is "partial 16S ribosomal RNA". It matches the Rfam family "Bacterial small subunit ribosomal RNA", at positions 28 to 507 of the family's 1533-position model. The record is from RNAcentral.